Rhamnusium bicolor is the source of this 82-nucleotide non-coding RNA. The record is from the annotation of a GenBank genome assembly. Lineage: Eukaryota; Metazoa; Arthropoda; Insecta; Coleoptera; Cerambycidae.
GCGCACGGUAGCUGAGUGGGUAAAACGCUUAUAGCUAUUUACUCGACAUCGAAGGUUGAUGGUUUGAUUCCAUCCUGGAGCA